AUUGAACGCUGGCGGCAGGCCUAACACAUGCGAGUCGAGCGGAUGAAGGGAGCUUGCUCCUGGAUUCAGCGGCGGACGGGUGAGUAAUGCCUAGGAAUCUGCCUGGUAGUGGGGGAUAACGUCCGGAAACGGGCGCUAAUACCGCAUACGUCCUGAGGGAGAAAGUGGGGGAUCUUCGGACCUCACGCUAUCAGAUGAGCCUAGGUCGGAUUAGCUAGCUGGUGAGGUAAAGGCCUACCAAGGCGACGAUCCGUAACUGGUCUGAGAGGAUGAUCAGUCACACUGGAACUGAGACACGGUCCAGACUCCUACGGGAGGCAGCAGUGGGGAAUAUUGGACAAUGGGCGAAAGCCUGAUCCAGCCAUGCCGCGUGUGUGAAGAAGGUCUUCGGAUUGUAAAGCACUUUAAGUUGGGAGGAAGGGCAGUAAGUUAAUACCUUGCUGUUUUGACGUUACCAACAGAAUAAGCACCGGCUAACUUCGUG
Molecule: ribosomal RNA, 484 nt
Filed under: uncultured bacterium
Lineage: Bacteria
Description: partial 16S ribosomal RNA
Rfam family: Bacterial small subunit ribosomal RNA
Source: RNAcentral